Molecule: microRNA precursor, 173 nt
Filed under: Pelobates cultripes (western spadefoot toad)
Lineage: Eukaryota; Metazoa; Chordata; Amphibia; Anura; Pelobatidae
Source: RNAcentral
CAGCAGACACAUUCAAGCCAAUCAGCAGCAGACUCUCCCUCCCAGACCCUCCCAUCUCCUGGACAGCAUCCAUUUUACAUUCAUUGUGAAGCUGCAUUCUUAGUGAGCUGUCCAGGAGGUGGAAGGGUCUGGGAGGGAGGGUCUGCUGCUGAUUGGCUGGAAUGUGUCUGCUG